Regulatory RNA element from Pelomonas sp. Root1444, 116 nucleotides. It matches the Rfam family "ALIL pseudoknot". NCBI's taxonomy places the organism in Bacteria, Pseudomonadati, Pseudomonadota, Betaproteobacteria, Burkholderiales, Sphaerotilaceae. The record is from Rfam.
CGCGUUUUUGCCAAGGCGGAGCUCGACCGCCACAUCAAGAAGUGAGGCGCUUCAUCGACGUGCAGCGCGAGCACUUCGGGGUCGAGUUGAUCUGCAACGUACUGGAUGUCGCCCCG